GAGGGGCAAGUCUGGUGCCCAGCAGCCGCGGUAAUUCCAGCUCCAAUAGCAUAUAUUUAAAGUUGYYGCGGUUAAAAAAGUUYGUAGUCAGAGUUCUGUUCUGGACUGGYUGGGGAGGUCACYGCCCAGUGCUUCCUCGUCAGGUUCCGAACAGCUCCCAGAUAACGGGAGCCAAGCCAGUUCUAUUUUGCUGGCUGUGUUAACCUGAGUUAAUGAUAAACAGGGACUGUYGGGGGCAUCCGUACUACGACGCGAGAGGUGAAAUUCAGUGACCGUCGUAGGAUGAACAACAGCGAAAGCAUUUGCCAAGAAUGUCUUCGUUGAUCAAGAACGAAAGUUAGAGGAUCGAAGGCGAUCAGAUACCGCCYUAGUUCUAACCCUUAACGAUGCUGACUAGCAAUUCGCCGUYGUUAUUCCCAUGAUGUGGCGAGACACCCCUGGGAAACCUCAAGUCUUUGAGUUCCGGGGGUAGUAUGGUUGCAAAGCUGAAACUUAAAGGAAUUGACGGAAGGGCACCACCAGGAGUGGAGCCUGUGGCUUAAUUUGACUCAACACGGGAAACCUCACCAGGCCUGGACACCAGAAGGAUUGACAGAUUAAGAGCUCUUUCUCGAUUUGGUGGGUGGUGGURCAUGGCUGUUCUUAGUUGGUGGAGUGAUUUGUCUGGUUAAUUCUUAGAGGGAUGAGCAGYAWGUAUAGCUGCAGGAGAUUGAGCAAUAACAGGUCUGUGAUGCCCUUARAA
Molecule: ribosomal RNA, 742 nt
Filed under: Synalpheus pescadorensis
Lineage: Eukaryota; Metazoa; Arthropoda; Malacostraca; Decapoda; Alpheidae
Description: bacterial SSU rRNA
Rfam family: Eukaryotic small subunit ribosomal RNA
Source: RNAcentral